This 18-nucleotide ribosomal RNA is filed under the name Haematococcus lacustris. RNAcentral describes it as "partial large subunit ribosomal RNA". Lineage: Eukaryota; Viridiplantae; Chlorophyta; Chlorophyceae; Chlamydomonadales; Haematococcaceae. The record is from RNAcentral.
CCUGAGCUCAGGCAAAAC